RNAcentral lists this transfer RNA (73 nucleotides) under Oreolalax major (common lazy toad). RNAcentral's name for it is "tRNA-Leu". The record is from RNAcentral. Lineage: Eukaryota; Metazoa; Chordata; Amphibia; Anura; Megophryidae.
GCUUUUAAAGGAAAAUAGUUUAUCCACUGGCCUUAGGAGCCAUCACCCCCUGGUGCAAAUCCAGGUAAAAGCU